GAUUGUUUAGCUUAUAAAUUAAAGCCCAUGUUUUGAAAGCAUAAGAAAGAAAAAUCUAACAAUCU
Molecule: transfer RNA, 65 nt
Filed under: Nothopuga sp. 1 LP-2008
Lineage: Eukaryota; Metazoa; Arthropoda; Arachnida; Solifugae; Ammotrechidae
Description: tRNA-Ser
Source: RNAcentral